AUACGGAGGGGACUAGCGUUGUUCGGAAUUACUGGGCGUAAAGCGUACGUAGGCGGAUCGGAAAGUAAGGGGUGAAAUCCCAGGGCUCAACCCUGGAACUGCCUCUUAAACUCCCGGUCUUGAGUUCGAGAGAGGUGAGUGGAAUUCCUAGUGUAGAGGUGAAAUUCGUAGAUAUUAGGAGGAACACCAGUGGCGAAGGCGGCUCACUGGCUCGAUACUGACGCUGAGGUACGAAAGUGUGGGGAGCAAACAGGAUAAGAAACCCUUGUAGUCC
Molecule: ribosomal RNA, 274 nt
Filed under: uncultured bacterium
Lineage: Bacteria
Description: partial 16S ribosomal RNA
Rfam family: Bacterial small subunit ribosomal RNA
Source: RNAcentral